CGGGCAUCUUCGGAUGUCAGUGGCAGACGGGUGAGUAACACGUGGGAACGUACCCUUCGGUUCGGAAUAACUCAGGGAAACUUGAGCUAAUACCGGAUACGCCCUUUUGGGGAAAGGUUUACUGCCGAAGGAUCGGCCCGCGUCUGAUUAGCUAGUUGGUGGGGUAACGGCCUACCAAGGCGACGAUCAGUAGCUGGUCUGAGAGGAUGAUCAGCCACACUGGGACUGAGACACGGCCCAGACUCCUACGGGAGGCAGCAGUGGGGAAUAUUGGACAAUGGGCGCAAGCCUGAUCCAGCCAUGCCGCGUGUGUGAUGAAGGCCUUAGGGUUGUAAAGCACUUUUGUCCGGGACGAUAAUGACGGUACCGGAAGAAUAAGCCCCGGCUAACUUCGUGCCAGCAGCCGCGGUAAUACGAAGGGGGCUAGCGUUGCUCGGAAUCACUGGGCGUAAAGGGCGCGUAGGCGGCCGUUUAAGUCGGGGGUGAAAGCCUGUGGCUCAACCACAGAAUUGCCUUCGAUACUGGACGGCUUGAGUAUGGUAGAGGUUGGUGGAACUGCGAGUGUAGAGGUGAAAUUCGUAGAU
RNAcentral lists this ribosomal RNA (584 nucleotides) under Methylobacterium sp. H9.19. Its description in RNAcentral is "bacterial SSU rRNA". It matches the Rfam family "Bacterial small subunit ribosomal RNA", at positions 67 to 695 of the family's 1533-position model. Lineage: Bacteria; Pseudomonadati; Pseudomonadota; Alphaproteobacteria; Hyphomicrobiales; Methylobacteriaceae. The record is from RNAcentral.